This 86-nucleotide transfer RNA is filed under the name Phocaeicola vulgatus. Its description in RNAcentral is "tRNA-Leu". It matches the Rfam family "tRNA". From Rfam's summary of the family: Transfer RNA (tRNA) molecules are approximately 80 nucleotides in length. Their secondary structure includes four short double-helical elements and three loops (D, anti-codon, and T loops). Further hydrogen bonds mediate the characteristic L-shaped molecular structure. tRNAs have two regions of fundamental functional importance: the anti-codon, which is responsible for specific mRNA codon recognition, and the 3' end, to which the tRNAs corresponding amino acid is attached (by aminoacyl-tRNA synthetases). tRNAs cope with the degeneracy of the genetic code in two manners: having more than one tRNA (with a specific anti-codon) for a particular amino acid; and 'wobble' base-pairing, i.e. permitting non-standard base-pairing at the 3rd anti-codon position. Lineage: Bacteria; Pseudomonadati; Bacteroidota; Bacteroidia; Bacteroidales; Bacteroidaceae. The record is from RNAcentral. RNAcentral also lists the same sequence under 2 other names.
GCCGCAAUGGUGGAAUAGGUAGACACGAUGGACUUAAAAUCCAUUUAUCAAAAGAGAUAGUGCAGGUUCAACUCCUGUUUGCGGCA